This 77-nucleotide transfer RNA is filed under the name Sneathiella chinensis. RNAcentral describes it as "tRNA-Pro". It matches the Rfam family "tRNA". Rfam says of the family: Transfer RNA (tRNA) molecules are approximately 80 nucleotides in length. Their secondary structure includes four short double-helical elements and three loops (D, anti-codon, and T loops). Further hydrogen bonds mediate the characteristic L-shaped molecular structure. tRNAs have two regions of fundamental functional importance: the anti-codon, which is responsible for specific mRNA codon recognition, and the 3' end, to which the tRNAs corresponding amino acid is attached (by aminoacyl-tRNA synthetases). tRNAs cope with the degeneracy of the genetic code in two manners: having more than one tRNA (with a specific anti-codon) for a particular amino acid; and 'wobble' base-pairing, i.e. permitting non-standard base-pairing at the 3rd anti-codon position. RNAcentral also lists the same sequence under 3 other names. The record is from RNAcentral. Lineage: Bacteria; Pseudomonadati; Pseudomonadota; Alphaproteobacteria; Sneathiellales; Sneathiellaceae.
CGGGGCGUGGCGCAGUCUGGUAGCGCACAUCGUUCGGGACGAUGGGGUCGGAGGUUCGAAUCCUCUCGCCCCGACCA